Molecule: unclassified non-coding RNA, 343 nt
Filed under: Linnemannia sclerotiella
Lineage: Eukaryota; Fungi; Mortierellomycota; Mortierellomycetes; Mortierellales; Mortierellaceae
Description: sequence contains 5.8S rRNA gene
Rfam family: 5.8S ribosomal RNA (bases 1-53)
Source: RNAcentral
GAACGCAUAUUGCGCUCUUUGGUAUUCCGAAGAGCAUGCUUGUUUGAGUAUCAGUAAACACCUCAAAGCUUUUGAUUUAUUUUGAAGGCUUUGGACUUGAGCGAUCCCAACACCAAUCUUUUAAGAUCGGCGGCGGGUUGCUUGAAAUGCAGGUGCAGCUGGACAUUCUCCUGAGCUAAAAGCAUAUUUAUUUAGUCCCGUCAAACGGAUUAUUACUUUUGCUGCAGCUAAUAUAAAGGGAGUUUGGCCGUUUUGGCUGACUGAUGCAGGAUUUCACAAGGGUCGGCAACGAUUCUUGUUAAACUCGAUCUCAAAUCAAGUAAGACUACCCGCUGAACUUAAG